CCGAGAAUAUUCCGCAAUGGACGAAAGUCUGACGGAGCGACGCCGCGUGAUGGAUGAAGUGCUUCGGUACGUAAACAUCUUUUAUGUGGGACGAAGUUUUGACGGUACCACAUGAAUAAGGGGCUACUAACUCUGUGCCAGCAGUAGCGGUAAUACAGAGGCCCCGAGCGUUACCCGGAAUCACUGGGCGUAAAGGGUGUCCAGGCGGUCGUAUUAGUCGUUUGUAAAAUCCGCGCGCUUAACGUGCGGCUCGCAAGCGAAACGGUACGACUCGAGGGCGCGAGAGGUGCAUGGAACUCACGGUGGAGGGGUGAAAUCCGUUGAUAUCGUGGGGAACACCAAAGGCGAAGGCAGUGCACUAGCGCGUUCCUGACGCUCACACACGAAAGCCAGGGGAUCGAACGGGAUUAGAUACCCCCGUAGUCC
RNAcentral lists this ribosomal RNA (426 nucleotides) under uncultured bacterium. RNAcentral's name for it is "bacterial SSU rRNA". It matches the Rfam family "Bacterial small subunit ribosomal RNA", at positions 355 to 796 of the family's 1533-position model. The record is from RNAcentral.